GGAGCAGGACGACGACGACAGGCAGCUCCUCCAUCCGCCGCCAGGGCCACCCCGCGCGGAAGCGACAGUGGCACCUCCCCGUACGGCGGCCGGCGCGGUUCAAGUCUCCCUUCAAAGCGCGCUGUGAGCGCGGUGGUGGCGCCGGGGGCGGUGGGGGCCGCGGGCGGGGCUCGGCGGGCGCGGUGAUGCGGCAUGAGGGGCUCCCCGUGUGCCCGCCCUGGGUUCCCCGCACCUCCGAGCAGCGCUGGCACCCGCGCGUCCCGGGGCUCCGAAAUACCCCUGUAAGCACGGGGGGAACGAGAGCCGGCGCUUUCAGGGCCCGCGGGCCGAGGCUGCCGCUGUGCGCGGGCUGCAGGAGCUGAGAGGGACCUGCCUGCUGUAGGACAGCGCAGCGGGGCUCCGCUGCCGCGCACAGGUACGGACCCAGGUAUACUGCAAUCACCUUUAAAGAGUACUGUACACACAAAAGAAAAAACAAGUUUGUUCCAAAUGAAGAGUGGAUAUGUGUGGUGUACAGUGUGGCCGGAACUCACCUGACCUGGCACUGCAGAACGUGGCACUGGACUGGAAUGUUUUGGUCUGUGUAUGUGCAGGUCCUCAGUAACUUCUGAACAGCUAUAAUCAGGACAAUAAUACCAGUGGAGGGGGUAAUGCUGCAGGUGAGGUGUAAAUAGAUGGAAGAGACAGCCUGUGAUGAAAGACAUAAAUGGAGAAGACAGAAAAACUGGAAAAAAACUGAAGAAGGAACAGGAAGAGGUUCAUGAACAGACAGCUUUCCAGAAACAAGCUUUUGUUCUCUUAUGGACAGUCCUCUAUCACCCCAGAAGUCCAGUGCUUGUCCAUAUGGAGUAGUGGUGUCACAGCUGUUACAACUUAGAAGAGCAAGGAGUAUGUGUAAAGAAGCUUCAAAGUCACUGAUAUUGUAUUAAGCAAAAUUGAGGGCUGUUCUUUGGAAAGUAAAUUAAUGAAGAAAAAAUUCUCAUGGAAUUUUUAUGGUUUAUGUCAUCUUGAAAGUGGUUACCAUGGACUUCUUAGGAUUUAGUGGCUGUUCUGAUUCACUAAAAAUUGCAGAUGUAGUAGAAAAUAGGUUGAAAUAUUCAUUUAUAUCAGGAAUAAAAUGAUAUGACAUCAGACUAAAAUACGAGGUUUUAAUCUUAAUUUCACUAAGAGAUUGUGUUGAAAUGGUAUUGCUGUCUUUAUUUGUCCAUCUGUUUUUGAAAUGGAAGGAGAUUGGAAGCAGGAAUGGGAUCCCUUUCACUUGUCUGAGGAAGUCAUGUGAGAUUUUGUUAACAAAAAUCAAUGCAAAAGGUAGUCAAUCAUAAGACACAAGUCCACACGAAAUCAAACUUCAGUAGUUCUGAUGUUUACACAAGCACCUCGUAGUUGGUUCAUGUCCAGCAAUGGAUUAAGCCAAACUGGCUGGAAACAGUUAGAGAUGCUGGUGGUAUGCCCUGCCCACCUCCCACAGGUUCCCACUUCAGCAGCAGGAGUGGCUCAAUGCCUCCUUAAUCAGCACCUGGGUUUCUGCGUUCUGCAGAUUGGCGCAUUAAGGCAAGCCAACAUCAGUUUCUGUUCAGGCUUAAGCCAGAGCAUUCCUGCAGUGGGAGAUGUCUCUCAAGAGAGAUCAAUGUACCUAGUGGGGUAGAUGACUCGUCAGCUGCACCUUAAUCUAUAGGGUGACAUAUAUAUUAAUACCUUCAUCAUUAUUUUGUUAGAGGAGAAUUUUUAAUAUAUUGAUCUGAAAGAUCACAAAUCAUUAAUGGAAAUGUAAAGUUGAGGGGGUAUAAGAUGUGGGUGAUAGCAGAAGGAUGCCAAGAGGAGCAGUCACGACCAUUAA
Molecule: long non-coding RNA, 1837 nt
Organism: Corvus hawaiiensis (hawaiian crow)
Lineage: Eukaryota; Metazoa; Chordata; Aves; Passeriformes; Corvidae
Exons: 4
Source: RefSeq, a predicted model, not a curated record